UUUGUUGAACGGUAUGAAGGUGCACCAAGGAAUAAGGUCGAGAAGGAGUUCUAAGCCGAUUUCAAGUCAUUAUCUGAAAUGGUACUUUGUGCAACAGAAUUUGAAAUGGAGAAGCAGUUUCAAUUAGUCUACACAAUUUCAAAAUUCAGAGAGGUUGAGAUUGAGUUCACGAGGAAGGUUUAUUGUGACAUCAUAUCUACUGCUGAGAGAUGUUUGGGGACGACGCAUGAGGUACGGGAGGUUGUUACUUUUGAGGGUUGUUGGAGGAAAAAAAUUCUUCGUCUCAUUUCAGAAAGAGAAAUGUGAUAUUAUUUUCAUUUAUCACUUAUUCGAGUUUCGAGGAAUAAUAUGUGGACAUGUGAUCGCAGUAUGAUCCGCAAUGAUGUGACAUGGCUGUCGAAGAAGUAUAUACUGUGGACAUGGAGGAGAGACGUUAAUAGAGCGCACACGAGGGUCGCAGUGAACUAUGAUGGCUUAGUUACCACUUCUGACAGUUGAGAUACGAUAAUAUGUGCCAAGCUUUUGGACAGAUGGCUGACCUUGCUGCAGAUGAUGAACGGUGGUCACGCUCGAUAAUGGAUUGGAUAAAAAAUCAAUGUUGCCUACUUAUUAGUGCAAAGUCAAGUAGCGGUAGUAAUCAAGUUUUGCCGCAUGCUUUUCAAGUGCCCAGUCAUUGUACUUAUUUACAAAAUACAUCGAGCGUGAGCAUACUGGAUCCAAAAUCUACUCGCAGAAAGGGCGUGUCGAAGAAACUUUGGAGGAAAAGCCCAUUGGAUUCAACUUAGAAGAAAUCGAAGCGAAGAGAACUAAAUUGAAGCAGAGUAAUAUGCAAAAGGGCACAAACAACUUUGAGCCGGCUCAACAACUACCUUAUUUCACGUCAUCACAAUUCCCACUUUCACAAUAUGCCAUCCCUACACAAUUUUCUCUUUCACAAUAAUUACCGUCUUCAUAUUUCAUCCCUUCGUCCUUGACAAAUGUUAUAUACAAUUUGCAAGGUCGAGCGAUGACAUACUGGAAUUAAAACUUACCGGAUUAAGAUGGCUUUGGCUUGUGAAGUUGGACGUGCAUCCAGUAAUGUUCAAUUAACACUCACAGCAAGUAUCAUCUCUGUGUUGUCAUGACAGAUUAAAUAUCAUUCAUACUAUUGAAUUAUUGUUGGGUUUAUUGAUGUUACAUUUGUUGGUCUACAUGAUUGAGUUAACCAAUACUUAUCAAAUUAAUCCCAUAGCAACUGGUCCAUUGUUUUGUAGCUAUGGAGGCCUUCGUUAACUUGGCAAAGCAUAAAGCAAGUAACGAUGACGUACUCGAAUUAAAACUUACCGGACUAAGAAGGCUUUGGCUUGUGAAGUUGGACGUGCAUCCAGUAAUGUUCAAUUAACACUGACAGCAACUAUGGAGGCCUUCGUUAACUUGGCAAAGCAUAAAGCAAGUCCUAAACCAAGCGAUUUAUUGCUAGAAUUGGAAGCAAUACAUAUUUGCCUAUUUUUUGUCAUUGUUGCUGGACCAAAUAUUGUAUGGAUGAUGGUGCUUCAAUUUUGUUUUUUCUGUGUCAAGGACAUCUGCUUUUUGUUAUGAAUAGGUCUCUAAAGAUGUAGUCCUAUUUUUUUGAUUAGAAGGUAAUUUGUAAAUUACAUGUAGUAGACUUGCCUCCAUAUUUCUUUACAUUAUAUAUGAAAAUAGAGAAUG
Olea europaea var. sylvestris is the source of this 1689-nucleotide long non-coding RNA. RefSeq lists it as uncharacterized. The record is from RefSeq and is a predicted model, not a curated record. NCBI's taxonomy places the organism in Eukaryota, Viridiplantae, Streptophyta, Magnoliopsida, Lamiales, Oleaceae. The transcript is spliced from 4 exons.